Molecule: unclassified non-coding RNA, 117 nt
Organism: Callithrix jacchus (white-tufted-ear marmoset)
Lineage: Eukaryota; Metazoa; Chordata; Mammalia; Primates; Cebidae
Rfam family: Metazoan signal recognition particle RNA
About the family: The signal recognition particle (SRP) is a universally conserved ribonucleoprotein.
Source: Ensembl
GCCGGGCGUGGUGGCUCAUGUCUGUAAUCCCAGCACUUUGGGAGGCUGAGGCAGGUGGAUCACCUGAGGUCAGGAGUUCAAGACCAGCCUGGCCAACAUGGUGAAACCCUGCCUCUA